RNAcentral lists this ribosomal RNA (142 nucleotides) under uncultured bacterium. RNAcentral describes it as "partial 16S ribosomal RNA". It matches the Rfam family "Bacterial small subunit ribosomal RNA", at positions 355 to 511 of the family's 1533-position model. The record is from RNAcentral.
UGGGGAAUCUUGCGCAAUGGGCGAAAGCCUGACGCAGCGACGCCGCGUGUGGGAUGACGGCCUGGUUGUAACCGCUUUCAGCAGGGACGAGGCCGCAAGGUGACGGUACCUGCAGAAGAAGCCCCGGCUAACUACGUGCCAG